RNAcentral lists this ribosomal RNA (253 nucleotides) under uncultured bacterium. RNAcentral's name for it is "partial 16S ribosomal RNA". It matches the Rfam family "Bacterial small subunit ribosomal RNA", at positions 524 to 776 of the family's 1533-position model. The record is from RNAcentral.
UACGUAGGGAGCUAGCGUUGUCCGGAAUCAUUGGGCGUAAAGCGCGCGUAGGCGGCCCGGUAAGUCCGCUGUGAAAGUCAAAGGCUCAACCUUUGAAUGUCAGCGGAUACUGCCGGGCUAGAGUCCGGAAGAGGCGAGUGGAACUCCUGGUGUAGCGGUGGAAUGCGCAGAUAUCAGGAAGAACACCCGUGGCUAAGGCGGCUCUCUAGUACGGUACUGACGCUGAGACGCGAAAGCGUGGGGAGCGAACAGG